CGAUGAAGCCCAGCUUGCUGGGUGGAUUAGUGGCGAACGGGUGAGUAACACGUGAGUAACCUGCCCUUAACUCUGGGAUAAGCCUGGGAAACUAGGUCUAAUACCGGAUAGGAGCGUCUACCGCAUGGUGGGUGUUGGAAAGAUUUAUCGGUUUUGGAUGGACUCGCGGCCUAUCAGCUUGUUGGUGAGGUAAUGGCUCACCAAGGCGACGACGGGUAGCCGGCCUGAGAGGGUGACCGGCCACACUGGGACUGAGACACGGCCCAGACUCCUACGGGAGGCAGCAGUGGGGAAUAUUGCACAAUGGGCGCAAGCCUGAUGCAGCGACGCCGCGUGAGGGAUGACGGCCUUCGGGUUGUAAACCUCUUUCAGUAGGGAAGAAGCGAAAGUGACGGUACCUGCAGAAGAAGCACCGGCUAACUACGUGCCAGCAGCCGCGGUAAUACGUAGGGUGCGAGCGUUAUCCGGAAUUAUUGGGCGUAAAGAGCUCGUAGGCGGUUUGUCGCGUCUGUCGUGAAAGUCCGGGGCUUAACCCCGGAUCUGCGGUGGGUACGGGCAGACUAGAGUGCAGUAGGGGAGACUGGAAUUCCUGGUGUAGCGGUGGAAUGCGCAGAUAUCAGGAGGAACACCGAUGGCGAAGGCAGGUCUCUGGGCUGUAACUGACGCUGAGGAGCGAAAGCAUGGGGAGCGAACAGGAUUAGAUACCCUGGUAGUCCAUGCCGUAAACGUUGGGCACUAGGUGUGGGGAC
RNAcentral lists this ribosomal RNA (749 nucleotides) under Micrococcus luteus. RNAcentral's name for it is "bacterial SSU rRNA". It matches the Rfam family "Bacterial small subunit ribosomal RNA", at positions 67 to 829 of the family's 1533-position model. The record is from RNAcentral. Lineage: Bacteria; Bacillati; Actinomycetota; Actinomycetes; Micrococcales; Micrococcaceae.